Transfer RNA from Colletotrichum incanum, 89 nucleotides. It matches the Rfam family "tRNA". From Rfam's summary of the family: Transfer RNA (tRNA) molecules are approximately 80 nucleotides in length. Their secondary structure includes four short double-helical elements and three loops (D, anti-codon, and T loops). Further hydrogen bonds mediate the characteristic L-shaped molecular structure. tRNAs have two regions of fundamental functional importance: the anti-codon, which is responsible for specific mRNA codon recognition, and the 3' end, to which the tRNAs corresponding amino acid is attached (by aminoacyl-tRNA synthetases). tRNAs cope with the degeneracy of the genetic code in two manners: having more than one tRNA (with a specific anti-codon) for a particular amino acid; and 'wobble' base-pairing, i.e. permitting non-standard base-pairing at the 3rd anti-codon position. The record is from Rfam. Lineage: Eukaryota; Fungi; Ascomycota; Sordariomycetes; Glomerellales; Glomerellaceae.
GGUCUAUUAGUCUAGUUGGUUAGGACGUCGGAUUCUGAUUUAGCAAUCAUAUUCUUCCGUAGGCCCAGGUUCGAAUCCUGGAUGGACCU